Molecule: ribosomal RNA, 371 nt
Filed under: uncultured bacterium
Lineage: Bacteria
Description: bacterial SSU rRNA
Rfam family: Bacterial small subunit ribosomal RNA
Source: RNAcentral
GUAGGAGGCGAGCGUUAUCCGGAUUCACUGGGCGUAAAGCGCGUGCAGGUGGUUCGGUAAGUUGGGCGUGAAAUCUCCCGGCUCAACUGGGAGAGGUCGUCCAAUACUACCGAACUUGAGAGCAGAAGAGGAAGAUGGAAUUCCCGGUGUAGUGGUGAAAUGCGUAGAUAUCGGGAGGAACACCAGUGGCGAAGGCGAUCUUCUGGUCUGUUUCUGACACUCAGACGCGACAGCUAGGGUAGUAAACGGGAUUAGAGACCCCGGUAAUCCUAGCCGUAAACGAUGUGAACUUGGCGUUGGUGGGUUAAACUCCAUCAGUGCCGAAGCAAACGCGAUAAGUUCACCGCCUGGGGACUACGGCCGCAAGGUUA